RNAcentral lists this ribosomal RNA (2034 nucleotides) under Salmonella enterica. RNAcentral describes it as "partial 23S ribosomal RNA". It matches the Rfam family "Bacterial large subunit ribosomal RNA", at positions 788 to 2802 of the family's 2925-position model. The record is from RNAcentral. Lineage: Bacteria; Pseudomonadati; Pseudomonadota; Gammaproteobacteria; Enterobacterales; Enterobacteriaceae.
GUUGAAAAAUUAGCGGAUGACCUGUGGCUGGGGGUGAAAGGCCAAUCAAACCGGGAGAUAGCUGGUUCUCCCCGAAAGCUAUUUAGGUAGCGCCUCGUGAAUUCAUCUCCGGGGGUAGAGCACUGUUUCGGCUAGGGGGCCAUCCCGGCUUACCAACCCGAUGCAAACUGCGAAUACCGGAGAAUGUUAUCACGGGAGACACACGGCGGGUGCUAACGUCCGUCGUGAAGAGGGAAACAACCCAGACCGCCAGCUAAGGUCCCAAAGUCAUGGUUAAGUGGGAAACGAUGUGGGAAGGCCCAGACAGCCAGGAUGUUGGCUUAGAAGCAGCCAUCAUUUAAAGAAAGCGUAAUAGCUCACUGGUCGAGUCGGCCUGCGCGGAAGAUGUAACGGGGCUAAACCAUGCACCGAAGCUGCGGCAGCGACACUCAGGUGUUGUUGGGUAGGGGAGCGUUCUGUAAGCCUGCGAAGGUGGCCUGUGAGGGUUGCUGGAGGUAUCAGAAGUGCGAAUGCUGACAUAAGUAACGAUAAAGCGGGUGAAAAGCCCGCUCGCCGGAAGACCAAGGGUUCCUGUCCAACGUUAAUCGGGGCAGGGUGAGUCGACCCCUAAGGCGAGGCCGAAAGGCGUAGUCGAUGGGAAACGGGUUAAUAUUCCCGUACUUGGUGUUACUGCGAAGGGGGGACGGAGAAGGCUAUGUUGGCCGGGCGACGGUUGUCCCGGUUUAAGCGUGUAGGUGUGUGUUCCAGGUAAAUCCGGUUCACUUUAACACUGAGGCGUGACGACGAGGCACUACGGUGCUGAAGCAACAAAUGCCCUGCUUCCAGGAAAAGCCUCUAAGCAUCAGGUAACAUCAAAUCGUACCCCAAACCGACACAGGUGGUCAGGUAGAGAAUACCAAGGCGCUUGAGAGAACUCGGGUGAAGGAACUAGGCAAAAUGGUGCCGUAACUUCGGGAGAAGGCACGCUGACACGUAGGUGAAGUGAUUUACUCAUGGAGCUGAAGUCAGUCGAAGAUACCAGCUGGCUGCAACUGUUUAUUAAAAACACAGCACUGUGCAAACACGAAAGUGGACGUAUACGGUGUGACGCCUGCCCGGUGCCGGAAGGUUAAUUGAUGGGGUCAGCGCAAGCGAAGCUCCUGAUCGAAGCCCCGGUAAACGGCGGCCGUAACUAUAACGGUCCUAAGGUAGCGAAAUUCCUUGUCGGGUAAGUUCCGACCUGCACGAAUGGCGUAAUGAUGGCCAGGCUGUCUCCACCCGAGACUCAGUGAAAUUGAACUCGCUGUGAAGAUGCAGUGUACCCGCGGCAAGACGGAAAGACCCCGUGAACCUUUACUAUAGCUUGACACUGAACAUUGAGCCUUGAUGUGUAGGAUAGGUGGGAGGCUUUGAAGUGUGGACGCCAGUCUGCAUGGAGCCGACCUUGAAAUACCACCCUUUAAUGUUUGAUGUUCUAACGUGGACCCGUGAUCCGGGUUGCGGACAGUGUCUGGUGGGUAGUUUGACUGGGGCGGUCUCCUCCUAAAGAGUAACGGAGGAGCACGAAGGUUGGCUAAUCCUGGUCGGACAUCAGGAGGUUAGUGCAAUGGCAUAAGCCAGCUUGACUGCGAGCGUGACGGCGCGAGCAGGUGCGAAAGCAGGUCAUAGUGAUCCGGUGGUUCUGAAUGGAAGGGCCAUCGCUCAACGGAUAAAAGGUACUCCGGGGAUAACAGGCUGAUACCGCCCAAGAGUUCAUAUCGACGGCGGUGUUUGGCACCUCGAUGUCGGCUCAUCACAUCCUGGGGCUGAAGUAGGUCCCAAGGGUAUGGCUGUUCGCCAUUUAAAGUGGUACGCGAGCUGGGUUUAGAACGUCGUGAGACAGUUCGGUCCCUAUCUGCCGUGGGCGCUGGAGAACUGAGGGGGGCUGCUCCUAGUACGAGAGGACCGGAGUGGACGCAUCACUGGUGUUCGGGUUGUCAUGCCAAUGGCACUGCCCGGUAGCUAAAUGCGGAAGAGAUAAGUGCUGAAAGCAUCUAAGCACGAAACUUGCCCCGA